AGUCGAACGAACUCUGGUAUUGAUUGGUGCUUGCAUCAUGAUUUACAUUUGAGUGAGUGGCGAACUGGUGAGUAACACGUGGGAAACCUGCCCAGAAGCGGGGGAUAACACCUGGAAACAGAUGCUAAUACCGCAUAACAACUUGGACCGCAUGGUCCGAGCUUGAAAGAUGGCUUCGGCUAUCACUUUUGGAUGGUCCCGCGGCGUAUUAGCUAGAUGGUGGGGUAACGGCUCACCAUGGCAAUGAUACGUAGCCGACCUGAGAGGGUAAUCGGCCACAUUGGGACUGAGACACGGCCCAAACUCCUACGGGAGGCAGCAGUAGGGAAUCUUCCACAAUGGACGAAAGUCUGAUGGAGCAACGCCGCGUGAGUGAAGAAGGGUUUCGGCUCGUAAAACUCUGUUGUUAAAGAAGAACAUAUCUGAGAGUAACUGUUCAGGUAUUGACGGUAUUUAACCAGAAAGCCACGGCUAACUACGUGCCAGCAGCCGCGGUAAUACGUAGGUGGCAAGCGUUGUCCGGAUUUAUUGGGCGUAAAGCGAGCGCAGGCGGUUUUUUAAGUCUGAUGUGAAAGCCUUCGGCUCAACCGAAGAAGUGCAUCGGAAACUGGAAAACUUGAGUGCAGAAGAGGACAGUGGAACUCCAUGUGUAGCGGUGAAAUGCGUAGAUAUAUGGAAGAACACCAGUGGCGAAGGCGGCUGUCUGGUCUGUAACUGACGCUGAGGCUCGAAAGUAUGGGUAGCAAACAGGAUUAGAUACCCUGGUAGUCCAUACCGUAAACGAUGAAUGCUAAGUGUUGGAGGGUUUCCGCCCUUCAGUGCUGCAGCUAACGCAUUAAGCAUUCCGCCUGGGGAGUACGGCCGCAAGGCUGAAACUCAAAGGAAUUGACGGGGGCCCGCACAAGCGGUGGAGCAUGUGGUUUAAUUCGAAGCUACGCGAAGAACCUUACCAGGUCUUGACAUACUAUGCAAAUCUAAGAGAUUAGACGUUCCCUUCGGGGACAUGGAUACAGGUGGUGCAUGGUUGUCGUCAGCUCGUGUCGUGAGAUGUUGGGUUAAGUCCCGCAACGAGCGCAACCCUUAUUAUCAGUUGCCAGCAUUAAGUUGGGCACUCUGGUGAGACUGCCGGUGACAAACCGGAGGAAGGUGGGGAUGACGUCAAAUCAUCAUGCCCCUUAUGACCUGGGCUACACACGUGCUACAAUGGAUGGUACAACGAGUUGCGAACUCGCGAGAGUAAGCUAAUCUCUUAAAGCCAUUCUCAGUUCGGAUUGUAGGCUGCAACUCGCCUACAUGAAGUCGGAAUCGCUAGUAAUCGCGGAUCAGCAUGCCGCGGUGAAUACGUUCCCGGGCCUUGUACACACCGCCCGUCACACCAUGAGAGUUUGUAACACCCAAAGUCGGUGGGGUAACCUUUUAGGAACCAGCCGCCUAAGGUGGGACAGAUGAUUAGGGUGAAGUCGUAACAAG
RNAcentral lists this ribosomal RNA (1470 nucleotides) under Lactiplantibacillus plantarum. RNAcentral describes it as "bacterial SSU rRNA". It matches the Rfam family "Bacterial small subunit ribosomal RNA". Lineage: Bacteria; Bacillati; Bacillota; Bacilli; Lactobacillales; Lactobacillaceae. The record is from RNAcentral.